Long non-coding RNA from Arvicola amphibius (Eurasian water vole), 559 nucleotides. RefSeq lists it as uncharacterized. NCBI's taxonomy places the organism in Eukaryota, Metazoa, Chordata, Mammalia, Rodentia, Cricetidae. The transcript has 3 exons. The record is from RefSeq and is a predicted model, not a curated record.
CACCACUUGGCUGCUCUCUUAGAUGCUUUCCAGUUCAUCUCUCCAUAUAACCGCCCUCCCUGCUAUUAACGACAGUGAAAAUGAACAGGCACUCCCUGAAAAGAUGCCCCCACAGAGAAAGGCAUGGAUACCAGAAUAGAAAGGAGGAUCCCAGAAGAGAGGCCCUGUAAGAUGAGAGCCAUGGGGAGAGGUAAAAAAAAUGACACGGAGGCAGUGUGGCAACCCAGGCAAACUCAGGAAGAAGAUGAUUCCACCUGGUUCAUAUGAUGCCAUUCGGAUGACAACGCCACUUAAAGAUCAGCUUUGGACUACAAACUGCUCAGAACAAUCUCAAGGUGGCUAGCUGAGAGGAUCUAGUCUCACAGACUACUCUAGCCAGGACUUGAGACAGCCCUGCACUUUCCCAUGAUGCACAGACUGAAUGGCACACCUACCUCUCCCAGGAUUUGAUAAUUAACUCAAGUUUUUCUUUCAGAAUCCCCUAAAGAUAUCAUCGCCUCCAGACAACAGGAAAUAAAUUUAAGAUUACGAUGCCCACAUUCCCAAAAGGUGGGGUGGG